UCGCUGUGUCUCUCUCUGUCAAAUAAAUAAAUAAAAUCUUAAAAAAAAAAAUCCAAUAUAAAAAUCUUGAUACCAGUGUGGGCCCACGUACCAACAUCGAUAAAAUGAUUCAUUCAAGAUUAAAUGUAGAACCCUUUAGUACCUAAUGAAAGUUCUUAGACAUUAUAUAAAACAACAAUUGUUUCUUCUAAAAGCUUAUUUUCUUUCAGGUCAACAACCAAGUAUUAAAUCAUUGGAGAAUAUAAAACUUGAUAGGGUAAUAUUGGGGUUUCUUGGUGUUUUAAAAUCUUUCCGAAAAUUAUGUUUUGAAUCACUCACUACACGGAUGGAAGAGAAGGUAGAGGGAAAGGAUGCUGUCAGAAGGAAGUAUCUUUGCUGUGUCUGCUGUAAGAAGGCCCUGUUGUGAAUGCAUGGAGAUGACUGAGCCAAGUAUACACUAUGGGCCAGGAGUCAGAUUCUCACUUUACAUGCAGCUGCCAUUUUGAAAAAAAAGACAGUUGCACUGCCAUUAUUUCAUUUUAUAAUUCUUCUAAAAUAUGUUUUAAAAAUCAAUAAUUAUUAUUUUUUCCUCAUUCACAUUGGAAUAUUGGCCAGAUACUGAAACUCUUGAUGCCGUAGGGUGCAUUGUGCUUUAGUUUGGUCACUUUCAGGGCAAUAGGCCACUAAGUAAAACUGGCUUAGUUAAGGACACUUAAUUAAUACCAUAUGUCAAUAAAUCUGGAAGUAGGAAGUUCCACCAUUGUGACUCAGUGUUAGGCCCGCUCAUAGGCUUCUAGGCCCUUGGCUUCCCCUUUGGUUACAUGGGGCCUCCCAUUAUCAAGUCAUCACAUGUCAUAGGACUGCAGCAGAGGCAAGAAGGGUGGCAGAACCCAGCCCUGUGCAGCUGUCCUAUUAGAAAAGAAAACCGUUUCUUGAAGAUCUUCCUCUCAGGUCACACUAUUGGAACCCAUCAGACCACUCUUAGCUGCAAGGGAGGAUGGGAGAGCGAGGAUCUGGGGGGUGGCUGGCGACAGGUGGAUUCUAGUGGCAGGGAAGUCAAGGCAGUGAGAGUGGCUACUGAGCAGAUAAACCACAGUUAGCCGCACAUCACUGGUGAAAAUGAACUUUCAAGCAAUAUCAUUUAACAACAUGCCUAGUCUUCCAGAGUAUUUUGUUCAGGCUAUUAAGUAUGAUCUAGAUCCAAGAAAACCUUGAUAUCUACAUUUUUUUUUCCUUUUGAAAUUCACACAAUACAAUUCUCUGUACGGUUGGUGUGAAAUAAAUGUUAAACAGUUUA
Leptonychotes weddellii (Weddell seal) is the source of this 1276-nucleotide non-coding RNA. Lineage: Eukaryota; Metazoa; Chordata; Mammalia; Carnivora; Phocidae. The record is from RefSeq and is a predicted model, not a curated record.